GGGGGCGUACUGGUUUCGACUGUUGACUCGAGACACAGGCGGCAUGUCGUGGAAGCCUGGUUGGCCACGUUAAACUCCCGGGCAAACAAAUAAACGCGAACGAUUACGAAGAUCUCGCUCUUGCGGCUUAAUUGACCGCAUCGAAGUGGCCCCGACGCCUGCUGAGUGCCACUUCGACGACCAGCAGGCUAUACCCAGGGCGGAGCGACCGCGCCCCAGGCAAAUUCGAUUCGUGGAUGCUCGGGGAACGGUAGCCCGCCCGUCGGCAGCCGUUCUCCUAAAUCAAAGGCGAAGCUAAACAUGUAGAUGCCGGUGAUGACAGCCAUCAGGACAGGGGUUCAACUCCCCUCGCCUCCACUU
This 360-nucleotide transfer-messenger RNA is filed under the name Chthoniobacter sp. It matches the Rfam family "transfer-messenger RNA". Rfam says of the family: Bacterial tmRNA, also known as 10Sa RNA or SsrA, is named for its dual tRNA and mRNA-like properties. Its role is to liberate the mRNA from a stalled ribosome. To accomplish this part of the tmRNA is used as a reading frame that ends in a translation stop signal. Lineage: Bacteria; Pseudomonadati; Verrucomicrobiota; Spartobacteria; Chthoniobacterales; Chthoniobacteraceae. The record is from RNAcentral.